GGGUAAUGGAACGGUUUUGGGAAAGCCGGCCAGAGAGGGUGAAAGCCCCGUACAUGAAACCUGAGAUGACAUGGCAGGAUCCAGAGUACCACGAGACACGGGAAACCUUGUGGGAACAGGCGGGGACCACCCCGUAAGGCUAAAUACUCCUCAGUGACCGAUAGUGCAUAGUACUGUGAAGGAAAGGUGAAAAGGACCCCGGGAGGGGA
Molecule: ribosomal RNA, 209 nt
Filed under: Florenciella parvula
Lineage: Eukaryota; Dictyochophyceae; Florenciellales
Description: partial Bacterial large subunit ribosomal RNA
Rfam family: Bacterial large subunit ribosomal RNA
Source: RNAcentral